AGGACGAACGCUGGCGGCGUGCUUAACACAUGCAAGUCGAGCGGAAAGGCCCUUCGGGGUACUCGAGCGGCGAACGGGUGAGUAACACGUGAGUAAUCUGCCCCUAGCUCUGGGAUAGCUCCGGGAAACCGGGAUUAAUACCGGAUACGACCACUUUAGACAUCUGUUGUGGUGGAAAGAAUUUUGGCUAGGGAUGAGCUCGCGGCCUAUCAGCUUGUUGGUGGGUAAUGGCCUACCAAGGCGACGACGGGUAGCCGGCCUGAGAGGGCGACCGGCCACACUGGGACUGAGACACGGCCCAGACUCCUACGGGAGGCAGCAGUGGGGAAUAUUGCGCAAUGGGCGAAAGCCUGACGCAGCGACGCCGCGUGGGGGAUGAAGGCCUUCGGUUGUAACCCCUUCAGCAGGGACGAAGCGAAAGUGACGGUACCUGCAGAAGAAGCGCCGGCUAACUACGUGCCAGCAGCCGC
This 470-nucleotide ribosomal RNA is filed under the name uncultured bacterium. RNAcentral's name for it is "SSU rRNA". It matches the Rfam family "Bacterial small subunit ribosomal RNA", at positions 26 to 518 of the family's 1533-position model. The record is from RNAcentral.